RNAcentral lists this long non-coding RNA (1836 nucleotides) under Nicotiana benthamiana. RNAcentral describes it as "long non-coding RNA (NBEN_LNC017269)". Lineage: Eukaryota; Viridiplantae; Streptophyta; Magnoliopsida; Solanales; Solanaceae. The record is from RNAcentral.
AAAAAGGAGAAGAAACCCUUCAAGAAGCAACGAGCAUACAUAUCUUGGGGAGGAGAUUCCGGAGACGAAUCCAGUGAAGAAGAAAAUGAAGAAGCGGAAAAUCUCUGCCUCAUGGCACAGGAAGAAAAUCAAAGUGAGGUGAGUCAAAUCUCUUCUCAAAAUUUUUAUACUCUUGAUGACAUGAGAAUUGCCUUUGAUGAAUUGUAUGCUGAAUUUCUCAAAGUUACAAAAACCGUCACUAGUCUAAGAGAAAGUGCUUCUCUAAAAGAACAAGAUUUUCAAAAACAGUUUUCAUUAAAAGAAAAGGAGCUAGAAAAAUUGGUUUCAGAAAAUGAGAAGCUACUUGAACAAAACAAGUUUUAUGGGAAAAGGAGUGCUGACAAGCCCGAGAGUUCUACUAAAAAUUGUGCUUCUUGUGUAGACCUUAAGAAUGAGAUAGGUAGACUAAAGGGCACACUAGAUAAAUUCAACUCCUCUCAUAAGAACUUGAAUGUGGUGCUUGAUAACUUAAAAUCAACUAAGCAUGGAAUAGGCUUCAUUAAUGAAGAAAAGGUCGAUGCAAAGACCCAACCACCUAGAGCUCAACCUAGGACGAAUAACAAAAAUGCGUUUCCUAGCAAUACUAGAACCAACGUGCAUGCUAGACAAAAUGAUAGGAGACCUAGACAUGACUUUGCGCCUAGAAAUAAUCACUAUAGAAAUAAUGCAUCUUUUAGACAUAAUAGUGAUCAUGCUAGAAGAAAUGUUCAACCUAGAAAUGGUUAUGCUAGAAAUAAUGCUCAAUUUAGGAGAAAUGAAAAUAGAGUAAGAGAUAUGCAUUAUUCAAGUUACUAUAAGCCUAGACGCAUGCAUAAUCCAAAUGUCACAUGUCAUUACUGUAGACGAGUUGGUCACAUUGCACCCGCAUGCUUUACUAGACAUAGACAUGCUACCCAAACGUAUCAUUAUAGUAUGCCUAACCCUCAAGGACCCAAAAUGGCAUGGGUACCAAAAGAGCAUUGAUUUGUUUUGUAGGUGUGCUUGAAGGAAUCAAGUGGUUGCUCCAAACACUUGACGGGAAACAAAUUCAAAAUUCCUUCAAUUAAAGCACAAAGAAGGAGGAAGAGACGGAAAAGGCAAUUUAGGCAUGUUUGAUGCAAAUCGGAUAAAGGUAUUUUGAAAAAUUUAAAAGACAAAAUACAUGGAAGGCAAAAUUGUGAAACCAUUAUUGGAAGAAGUAUCUCAAAUUGAAGAAUGAGCCAAAAGACCAAAAUAAACGGAGGAUGCUCAAAAUCAGGUAAUUGGCAAAGUCGAAGGGAAGGUAAGUACCCUAAACCCUCUUAAGAACAUCCUAGGACAAAAUUCUUAAGAGUUCACGUUUUCACCCGACUACACUAGUUUCAAAGUUAUCAUUUCAUUUAUAGAUUACUGACUUGAUCGUCGGAGUGGUUUAGUUUCUUUUUGCAGGUACUCUCCAAAAGGUAAGAGGAAAGUAUAAAUUAUCUUGGUACAAGAAAAAUCGAUCAAAAUCGAUUAUUUAUGCUUACAAUCGAUUAUCAGUAUCAAUAAUCGAUUAUUUGUUGAUUUAAUUAUUAUGUCAUGAAGUCUUGUUUCAUAAUUGAGUGUUUAAAUUGCUUGAUAGAAUUAAAUCUCAUCAUUUUAGCAUCCGCCUUCCAAACAAUCGAUUAUUUGUUCUGCCAAUCGAUUAUUUGCCAAAAUUCAAACUCUCUGUGAGUAAACAAUCGAUUACUAUAUACUGACAACGAUUAUUUGCCAAAAUCCAAACUCUCUGUGAAUGAAAUAAUCGAUUACCAUAUAUUGACAAUCGAUUAUCUGUUUUAAACUUAUGUUACCGUU